UAUAAGACGAGAAGACCCCAUGGAGCUUUAAACCCAACAACACCCGCCCCCCUCCAAAUCCUAUUAUUUACCCGGUGAUUGUUUGUUUGGUUUUAGGUUGGGGUGACCGCGGAGUAUAAGAUAUCCUCCAUGAAAAAAGCUAACUGCCCUUAUUAGAGAAAGACACUUCCAAAAAAUAAUAAAUUAAUUUUAAAUGAUCCGACAUUCGAUCAACGAACCAAGUUACCCUGGGGAUAACAGCGCAAUCCGUCCCGAGAGCCCCUAUCGACAG
RNAcentral lists this ribosomal RNA (271 nucleotides) under Gephyromantis sergei. Its description in RNAcentral is "partial 16S ribosomal RNA". It matches the Rfam family "Bacterial large subunit ribosomal RNA", at positions 2076 to 2511 of the family's 2925-position model. Lineage: Eukaryota; Metazoa; Chordata; Amphibia; Anura; Mantellidae. The record is from RNAcentral.